Molecule: ribosomal RNA, 249 nt
Filed under: Triticum aestivum (bread wheat)
Lineage: Eukaryota; Viridiplantae; Streptophyta; Magnoliopsida; Poales; Poaceae
Description: partial small subunit ribosomal RNA
Source: RNAcentral
AUGAAGCUACUGCACCAACUCGGGGCCCCAAGAGUCAUGCUCAAACUUGACCUCACGCGAGCCUUCGACUCCCUAUCUUGGCACUUCCUCUUCGAGGUGCUGGACCGAUACGGGUUCGGGCCUCGGUUCCGGGAGUGGCUUGCGAUACUGCUUUCGACCUCGAGCACCAGGGUCAUGCUGAACGGCGAGCCAGGGCCGCCGAUUUGGCACCGAUGCGGACUGCGACAGGGCGACCCCGUGUCGCCAUAG